CACGCCUCUGAGGGCAUCCCAUCAUAUCAUCUCGGCCACUGUGGGCAAAUCAUCAAUGUAUACCAGUUGAUUAGGUGAUGGUGCGUAUAUAACGUCGUAACCUUUUCUCAUAACCUAUAUACAUAUAUACGCGUAUAUAAUGUCAUCUGGUGCCAUGUGUGCAAAAUCAUCAACGUAUACUAGCUGAUCAGGUGGUGGUGCGUACAUAACGCCGUAACCUUUUUCCAUAUUCUAUAUACAUAUAUAUACAUAUAUACGCAUAUAUAGCGUCGUCUGAGUCAUGAGUAAAUGCACAUGUAAAUGAGUGCAAUGCAUGAGAAGUACGUUAAUAAAACUUCUCGGAACAUCAUAAGACCAUUAUACCUCUGACUAAUAUCGUAAAAUAAAUUUUUUUCAACUUACGUAUUUUUCUGAGACCUAUGAACAAACAAUAGAAUAAUAAGACUUAUGGGAAUUCAAAAACAUAGGCAUCUCAAAUACUUUUGUGAAUAGAGUCAUUUAUGGAAAUUGUGCGGUUGCUCGUUUCUUCUGUAUAAUUUGGAUCAUGCCAAAAGAAAGAAGGGAUAGCCUUAAUAUACCUGGAGGAAGGAACUAAUAUUAGCGGAGAUCUUUAAAAAGUAUUCACCCUCAUCUUGGCAAGGCACACGAAUCCUCUACUGCCAAGUAAUACAUAAUUAUCAACAAACAUAUGAGCAAAAUCACAAUAAUCAUUCACCUAUGUCAGAUUUGGGCUCAAAAAAGCAGCUCAAAAGGCAAUAGAAACAUCCAACUAGUUUUGCUAAAACAUAUGUCCUUUUUUGAUAACGUAAAGUAAGGAUUUAUGCUCCAGGUUCUAUCCUUCAUGCUUUUAAAGAAAACAAUCACCCGUAUUUUCCAUUAUCACGGAUUCUAGUCCUCGAAACUACAGCCAUAUUAUCACCUAAAUAAGUAGAAACAUUUUUAGGUCAGGACAAACAUUCAACAAGGAGAUUUAAGAAGUUUGUUCUUCUCCACAUCAUCCUAACGAGUAGGAGUUUUAGAAAACAUCUAACAAGGACACCAAAUUGAAAGAAAGAGAGGAAUGAUGUAGCAUACUGAAGAUCUAAUCAUUCAAUUACCUAAUACUAUUAAGACUUGAAAGAAAACAGGAAAUACCAUUUACUAGUACAUCAAAUUUGAUUCACCGUUUACAUUUCUGCUAUCUACCUACAAA
This 1192-nucleotide long non-coding RNA is filed under the name Nicotiana tabacum (common tobacco). RNAcentral describes it as "long non-coding RNA (NTAB_LNC004694)". The record is from RNAcentral. Lineage: Eukaryota; Viridiplantae; Streptophyta; Magnoliopsida; Solanales; Solanaceae.